Molecule: ribosomal RNA, 497 nt
Filed under: uncultured bacterium
Lineage: Bacteria
Description: partial 16S ribosomal RNA
Rfam family: Bacterial small subunit ribosomal RNA
Source: RNAcentral
GAUGAACGCUGGCGGCGUGCCUAAUACAUGCAAGUCGAGCGAACGGACGAGAAGCUUGCUUCUCUGAUGUUAGCGGCGGACGGGUGAGUAACACGUGGAUAACCUACCUAUAAGACUUGGAUAACUUCGGGAAACCGGAGCUAAUACCGGAUAAUAUUUUGAACCGCAUGGUUCAAAAGUGAAAGACGGUCUUGCUGUCACUUAUAGAUGGAUCCGCGCUGCAUUAGCUAGUUGGUAAGGUAACGGCAUACCAAGGCAACGAUGCAUAGCCGACCUGAGAGGGUGGUCGGCCACACUGGAACUGAGACACGGUCCAGACUACUACGGGAGGCAGCAGUAGGGAAUCUUCCGCAAUGGGCGAAAGCCUGACGGAGCAACGCCGCGUGAGUUAUGAAGGUCUUCGGAUCGUAAAACUCUGUUAUUAGGGAAGAACAUAUGUGUAAGUAACUGUGCACAUCUUGACGGUACCUAAUCAGAAAGCCACGGCUAACUACGUG